Molecule: ribosomal RNA, 253 nt
Filed under: uncultured bacterium
Lineage: Bacteria
Description: partial 16S ribosomal RNA
Rfam family: Bacterial small subunit ribosomal RNA
Source: RNAcentral
GACGGAGGGGGCUAGCGUUGUUCGGAAUUACUGGGCGUAAAGCGUACGCAGGCUGUUUGGUAAGUUAGAAGUGAAAGCCUGGGGCUCAACCUCAGAAGUGCUUUUAAUACUGCCAAACUAGAGUUUCUGAGGGGAUAGUGGAAUUCCUAGUGUAGUAGUGAAAUACGUAGAUAUUAGGAGGAACACCAGUGGCGAAGGCGACUAUCUGGCAGAAAACUGACGCUCAUGUACGAAAGCGUGGGGAGCAAACAGG